CCGAGUUUUACAAACUCCCAAAACCCAUGUGAAACAUACCUACUGUUUGCUUCGGCGGGAUUGCCCCGGGCGCCUCGUGUGCCCCCGGAUCAGGCGCCCCCCGCCUAGGAAAACUUAAACUCUUGUUUUUAUUUUUGGAAUCUUCUGAGUAGUUUUUUUACAAAUAAAUAAG
Molecule: unclassified non-coding RNA, 172 nt
Filed under: soil metagenome
Description: partial internal transcribed spacer 1
Source: RNAcentral